Molecule: ribosomal RNA, 330 nt
Filed under: uncultured eukaryote
Lineage: Eukaryota
Description: partial 18S ribosomal RNA
Rfam family: Eukaryotic small subunit ribosomal RNA
Source: RNAcentral
CCCUUAGAUGUCCGGGGCCGCACGCGCGCUACACUGAAGGAAUCAGCGUGGCUUUCUCCCUGACCCGAAAGGGUUGGGAAACCCGUUGAAUCUCCUUCGUGAUAGGGAUUGGGGCUUGAAAUUGUUCCCCAUGAACGAGGAAUUCCCAGUAAGCGCGAGUCAUAAGCUCGCGUUGAUUACGUCCCUGCCCUUUGUACACACCGCCCGUCGCACCUACCGAUUGAAUGGUCCGGUGAAAUCUUCGGAUUGAGACUUUGAUUUCUUCACGGAAAACGCUGUUUUAAAAAGUUGAUUAAACCUUACCAUUUAGAGGAAGGUGAAGUCGUAACA